CCUACGGGAGGCAGCAGUGGGGAAUAUUGCACAAUGGGCGCAAGCCUGAUGCAGCAACGCCGCGUGAGGGACGACGGCCUUCGGGUUGUAAACCUCUUUUAGUAGGGAAGAAGCGAAAGUGACGGUACCUGCAGAAAAAGCACCGGCUAACUACGUGCCAGCAGCCGCGGUAAUACGUAGGGUGCAAGCGUUGUCCGGAAUUAUUGGGCGUAAAGAGCUCGUAGGCGGUUUGUCGCGUCUGCUGUGAAAACCCCGAGGCUCAACCUCGGGCCUGCAGUGGGUACGGGCAGACUAGAGUGCGGUAGGGGGGAUUGGAAUUCCUGGUGUAGCGGUGGAAUGCGCAGAUAUCAGGAGGAACACCGAUGGCGAAGGCAGAUCUCUGGGCCGUAACUGACGCUGAGGAGCGAAAGCAUGGGGAGCGAACAGGAUUAGAUACCCUGGUAGUCCAUGCCGUAAACGUUGGGAACUAGAUGUAGGGACCAUUCCACGGUUUCUGUGUCGCAGCUACGACAUUACGUUACCCGUCCGUCGGGUAGGUACGGCCGCGACGGACGUAAACUACAAGAAGUUAGACGGCGUGAGACGUGCCGACGGACGACGACGAGGGAGGUAGG
This 614-nucleotide ribosomal RNA is filed under the name uncultured bacterium. RNAcentral's name for it is "bacterial SSU rRNA". The stretch from base 1 to 526 matches the Rfam family "Bacterial small subunit ribosomal RNA", at positions 338 to 873 of the family's 1533-position model. The record is from RNAcentral.